UAGAGGACUAAAACUCCCUAAACCCAUGUGAACUUACCACUGUUGCUUCGGCGGGAUCGCCCCGGGCGCCGUCUGCGUGCCCCGGAGCAAGGCGCCCGCCGGAGGACCCCAAACUCUGUUUUAUGUUGGCACAUCUGAGUGGAAUCAUACAAAUGAAUCA
This 160-nucleotide unclassified non-coding RNA is filed under the name uncultured Hypocreales. RNAcentral describes it as "sequence contains ITS1". The record is from RNAcentral. Lineage: Eukaryota; Fungi; Ascomycota; Sordariomycetes; Hypocreales.